Molecule: long non-coding RNA, 1932 nt
Organism: Panicum virgatum (switchgrass)
Lineage: Eukaryota; Viridiplantae; Streptophyta; Magnoliopsida; Poales; Poaceae
Exons: 10
Source: RefSeq, a predicted model, not a curated record
CAAUUUUGGCACAUAGUUCUAAGGGAUAUGUUGCCAGCAACUAUUUAGAGUUGGUGGUUAAUGUUUCAAGAAUCAAGAAUCUCAAUUGGGCGCGAUUCACAUUAGUUCAUUUGUUGGACAACCUGGUUGAAUUCAAGAAGAACAGAAGAACAGGACAUGCCGGAAAUUUGGCACUAUUCUAGGUUUGGUUUUUUGAGCAUUUUCAAGCAUCUGGUGAUGGCUUAGAUUAUGCACUGCAUCAACAUCCGUUGAUAAGAAACUGGAAUGAAGACAAAGUUUUGAAGCGAGCACGCAUUCAAGCUAUAAAGAAAUUUGGGGCUGAAAAGGUGAUCGUGGAAUUGGAACCGAAUGAGUCCAAAGUGCACACCGGUAAUGAUAAUUUUUACCAGGAUAUUGGUGAUGACCAAUAUAAUGAGGGAAUGAGAUAUGAAAAAUCUGAAAAUAAGGAUUGGAAUGAGAAUGAAGAUGUAAAUCAAGAAGACCAGCGUGAUGCUAUGGAGGAUGACGAAAUCAAGAUAAAGGAAUCAAUGGAAGCAAUGAAAUCCCUAUUUGUAAGGUUCCCGGAGUUGCAUACGGUUGUGCAGGUUAUAAAUUCAAGUUGCUCUGUUAUUUAUAAUACAUGUAUGUGAAUGGUUAGUAUAAAGCUGCUUACGUCAUUUGCAUUGAAAAGAUUAGAUGGUUGUCAAGCUAUUUGAUGGAACUAGAAGUAAUAGGUCCACAAAGUGUGAGGGAAAGCAAUGUGAUUCAUCGGGUACUAGCAAAUCGUGAGAACCGAAUUCCAAUGUUCAAAAGGAAAGUGAGUAGGCAAGUCAUGCAAACAGUAUGGAUAAAUCAGAGAAAGAAAAACCAUAUCCGGAGCAGGGUACUGCUGAUGAAAAGGAGGUUUCUUCAUCCAACUUAUCUUCAGGAGCAAAGAGGAAAAUUGAUUUUGUUUUGAGUCCUACACUGGUUGAAAAGGUGAAAACCAGAAUCAAUAGGCAACCAAGCAAAGUCUGCAAGUCCCCGUACAUAGGCACAAAGCAAAAUAGGGUAUCUAAAACAAAAACUAAUUGUCCAAAUGCUGGCGACAUUACAAAAGGACUAGAGUUAAGUGACUUGGAACUUCACGCCAUUAAAUAUAUUUUGGAGGAAUUUGCGACUGAACCAAAUAAAAGUCUAGUAUGCAUAGGUGGAAUUGAGCUGGGUGCUAAUCAAUUGAAGUGUCUAGUAACACGUGUGAGAGAGGAUGCAGGAGACAAAUGGUUAUGUUCUGGGAUAAUAGACUCCUAUGCAACUAUAUUCAACUCUGAUUGGAAAAAAGAUACUAACGAGAUAAAGCAUGCACUUUUAGAUGUCAAUUGUCAGUGGUUACGAAUGAUUGGAAAAGCUUGGGUACAAUCUGGUGUACCUUGGUGGAGGUUGUGCCAUAAGUCUGCUCAGGAAUUGGUUGGAGCUGAUAUGGUCUUCAUUCCCAUGAAUACUACAAGAACUCACUGUGGCUCUGUGUUCUGUACCUGCUAGAAAUGAAAUUCAAGUUCUCGAUUCUUUCAAUAGGACCAUAAAUUAUGCAGAAGAAUUAGUCGAAUUGCUACCAUUCAGAGAUGUGGAAUUCAUUCAAUUUUGCAAGCAAUUUUGGCAUCAUCUGACAAGUUGGAGUCAAGGUGGAGUAACUAUGACAUUUUACAAUGGGAUGUUGUUGUGAAGAAAAACAUUCCACGGCAACAUGAUGCGUGCUCAUGCGGGAUUUUUACAAUAAAAUAUAUGCAAUUUUGGAAUGGGAGUGAAAUAACAAAUCCAUUCACGCAAAAGGAUAUGGAGAAAUUUAGGAAGAAGAUGCCAGCUGAGUUGAUCUUGUCGCCCUUGAAUGAGCUUAAUACCAGCAAAGAGCAUGUACUUGCCACCCAGAAUUUUAGUUGAUCUCUAUUUUUGAAACCAUCAGGUUUUUUUAAAAUA